Molecule: ribosomal RNA, 248 nt
Filed under: uncultured bacterium
Lineage: Bacteria
Description: partial 16S ribosomal RNA
Rfam family: Bacterial small subunit ribosomal RNA
Source: RNAcentral
CCGGACCGGCGCACGGGUGCGUAACGCGUAUGUAACCUACCUAUAACAGGGGGAUAACCCGGAGAAAUCCGGACUAAUACCCCAUAAUAUGGGCGCUCCGCAUGGAGAGCCCAUUAAAGAGAGCAAUUUUGGUUACAGACGAGCAUGCGCUCCAUUAGCCAGUUGGCGGGGUAACGGCCCACCAAAGCGACGAUGGAUAGGGGUUCUGAGAGGAAGGUCCCCCACAUUGGAACUGAGACACGGUCCAA